RNAcentral lists this ribosomal RNA (433 nucleotides) under uncultured bacterium. RNAcentral describes it as "partial 16S ribosomal RNA". It matches the Rfam family "Bacterial small subunit ribosomal RNA", at positions 29 to 507 of the family's 1533-position model. The record is from RNAcentral.
AACGAACGCUGGCGGCAUGCCUAACACAUGCAUGUCGAACGAGACCUUCGCGUCUAGUGGCGCACGGGUGCGUAACGCGUGGGAACCUGCCCUUAGGUUCGGAAUAACUCCCCGAAAGGGGUGCUAAUACCGGAUAAUGUCUUCGGACCAAAGAUUUAUCGCCUUUGGAUGGGCCCGCGUUGGAUUAGCUAGUUGGUAGGGUAAAAGCCUACCAAGGCGACGAUCCAUAGCUGGUCUGAGAGGAUGAUCAGCCACACUGGGACUGAGACACGGCCCAGACUCCUACGGGAGGCAGCAGUGGGGAAUAUUGGACAAUGGGCGAAAGCCUGAUCCAGCAAUGCCGCGUGAGUGAUGAAGGCCUUAGGGUUGUAAAGCUCUUUUACCCGGGAUGAUAAUGACAGUACCGGGAGAAUAAGCACCGGCUAACUCCGUG